CAAGAAAAGGUCAGGAUAGCUCAGUUGGUAGAGCAGAGGACUGAAAAUCCUCGUGUCACCCAGUUCAAAU
RNAcentral lists this transfer RNA (70 nucleotides) under Festuca baffinensis. RNAcentral describes it as "partial tRNA-Phe". The stretch from base 10 to 70 matches the Rfam family "tRNA", at positions 1 to 58 of the family's 71-position model. From Rfam's summary of the family: Transfer RNA (tRNA) molecules are approximately 80 nucleotides in length. Their secondary structure includes four short double-helical elements and three loops (D, anti-codon, and T loops). Lineage: Eukaryota; Viridiplantae; Streptophyta; Magnoliopsida; Poales; Poaceae. The record is from RNAcentral.